This 1336-nucleotide ribosomal RNA is filed under the name metagenome. RNAcentral describes it as "bacterial LSU rRNA". It matches the Rfam family "Bacterial large subunit ribosomal RNA", at positions 1560 to 2925 of the family's 2925-position model. The record is from RNAcentral.
CGGUCGUAAGGGACUGCAAAUGAGCGGGAAGUGAAUUUGGAAGAAGGCGAGAAAAGCUGUGUGAAUAGAAGAUAGAGCCCGUACCGCAAACCGACACAGGUAGAUAGGAAGAAGAUUCUAAGGCCAACGGGAGAAGGGUUGUUAAGGAACUCGGCAAGUUGACCCCGUAACUUAGGGAGAAGGGGUGCUCUUUAAGGAGAGCCGCAGAGAAUAGGCCCAAGCGACUGUUUAGCAAAAACACAGCUCUAUGCUAAAUCGAAAGAUGACGUAUAUGGGGUGACACCUGCCCGGUGCCGGAAGGUUAAGAGGAGGAGCGAGAGCUCUGAAUUGAAGCCCCGGUAAACGGCGGCCGUAACGAUAACGGUCCUAAGGUAGCGAAAUUCCUUGUCAGGUAAGUUCUGACCCGCACGAAUGGUGUAACGAUUUGGGCACUGUCUCAACAACCUGCCCGGCGAAAUUGUAGUACCGGUGAAGAUGCCGGUUACCCGCGACUAGACGGAAAGACCCCAUGGAGCUUUACUGCAGCUUAAUAUUGAAUUUCGGUAUUUCAUGUACAGGAUAGGUGGGAGACAGGGAACCAUAGGCGUCAGCUUAUGGGGAGUCGACCUUGGGAUACCACUCUUGAGGUGCUGGAAUUCUAACCUGUGGCUCUGAAUCGAGUCAGGGGACAUUGUUAGGCGGGCAGUUUGACUGGGGCGGUCGCCUCCAAAAAGGUAACGGAGGCGCUCAAAGGUUCGCUCAGCAUGGAUGGAAACCAUGCUUUUGAGUGUAAACGCAAAAGCGAGCCUAACUGCGAGACUGACGGGUCGAGCAGUAACGAAAGUUGGAGUUAGUGAUCCGGCGGUAUGUGAGUGGAAAUGCCGUCGCUCAACGGAUAAAAGCUACCCUGGAUAACAGGCUGAUCUCCCCCAAGAGUCCACAUCGACGGGGAGGUUUGGCACCUCGAUGUCGGCUCAUCGCAUCCUGGGGCUGAAUUCGGUCCCAAGGGUUUGGCUGUUCGCCAAUUAAAGCGGUACGCGAGCUGGGUUCAGAACGUCGUGAGACAGUUCGGUCCCUAUCUGUCGUGGGCGUAGGAUAUUUGAAAGGAGCUGUCCCUAGUACGAGAGGACCGGGAUGGACGCACCGCUGGUGCACCAGUUGUCAUGCCAAUGGCACAGCUGGGCAGCUAUGUGCGGAACGGAUAAACGCUGAAGGCAUCUAAGCGUGAAGCCGACCUUAAGAUAAGAUAUCCCUCCGUAAGAGUAAGACCUCUCAUAGACUAUGAGUUUGAUAGGCCUAAGGUGUAAGCACAGUGAUGUGUUCAGCCUGCAGGUACUAAUCGGUCGAGGGCUUUUCC